Molecule: ribosomal RNA, 524 nt
Filed under: uncultured bacterium
Lineage: Bacteria
Description: bacterial SSU rRNA
Rfam family: Bacterial small subunit ribosomal RNA
Source: RNAcentral
GAUUCUGGCUCAGGAUGAACGCUGGCGGCGUGCUUAAUACAUGCAAGUCGAACGAAGAUAUUCGCCGAAGUUACUUCAUUGAGAUAUCUUAGUGGCGGACGGGUGAGUAACGCGUGGGUAACCUGCCUUACACAGGGGGGAUAACAGUUAGAAAUGACUGCUAAUACCGCAUAAGCGCACAUUAUCGCAUGAUAGAGUGUGAAAAGAUUUAUCGGUGUAAGAUGGACCCGCGUCUGAUUAGCUAGUUGGUGAGGUAACGGCCCACCAAGGCGACGAUCAGUAGCCGGCCUGAGAGGGUGAACGGCCACAUUGGGACUGAGACACGGCCCAAACUCCUACGGGAGGCAGCAGUGGGGAAUAUUGCGCAAUGGGGGAAACCCUGACGCAGCGACGCCGCGUGAGCGAAGAAGGCCUUAGGGUCGUAAAGCUCUGUUGUAAGGGACGAAUGUUUAUCUGGCGAACAGUCAGAUAAAGUGACGGUACCUUACCAGCAACGCCCCGGCUAACUACGUGCCAGCCGCCGC